CAAACGGCUCUUUUAAGAGCCACAUACAUAACAGUAAAGAGCAAU
This is a non-coding RNA of Danio rerio (zebrafish), 45 nucleotides long. The record is from Rfam. Lineage: Eukaryota; Metazoa; Chordata; Actinopteri; Cypriniformes; Danionidae.